GUAACGGCUAAGUGUAACCGUGACCACCCAGUAACAAUCAAUUAAGCUGCGGUUAACCGCAGCUACUGGGUGGUCAAUUGCCGGCACACGCUCGUUAAGCCGCGGUUAACCGCGGCUUCAGGGAGGUACUCCAGCUUCUGGGUGGCCAAUUAAGGUCGCCGGCCGGCUUCCCAGGGCUCUGGGGAGGCUGAAAAGAAACUGUUUGUUCGGUAGAUAGAAUCUACC
This is a non-coding RNA of Pelobates cultripes (western spadefoot toad), 225 nucleotides long. The record is from the annotation of a GenBank genome assembly. Lineage: Eukaryota; Metazoa; Chordata; Amphibia; Anura; Pelobatidae.